UCCCAAGUGGCUGAGUGGUAAAGAAUCCUGCCAGUGCAGGAGAUACAGGUUCAAUUCCUGGAUUGGGAA
Molecule: transfer RNA, 69 nt
Filed under: Ovis aries (sheep)
Lineage: Eukaryota; Metazoa; Chordata; Mammalia; Artiodactyla; Bovidae
Rfam family: tRNA
About the family: Transfer RNA (tRNA) molecules are approximately 80 nucleotides in length.
Source: Rfam by way of RNAcentral